CAUGGCAAGGGUGAGAAAGGAGUCAAACAUCAGCCCCAAGGUCACCUCUCGUGGUUUCCUGUGGUGUCAACCCUCCACCAGAACUACUGGAAUCAAUAUUCCAAGGAAGGGAAAUUGGUAGCAGCACAAUAACUGCACUCCAGUUACUUCAUUCACCUUGCUCUGCUUGUUC
Molecule: long non-coding RNA, 172 nt
Organism: Corapipo altera (White-ruffed manakin)
Lineage: Eukaryota; Metazoa; Chordata; Aves; Passeriformes; Pipridae
Exons: 3
Source: RefSeq, a predicted model, not a curated record